RNAcentral lists this ribosomal RNA (237 nucleotides) under uncultured bacterium. RNAcentral's name for it is "partial 16S ribosomal RNA". It matches the Rfam family "Bacterial small subunit ribosomal RNA", at positions 15 to 248 of the family's 1533-position model. The record is from RNAcentral.
GAUCCUGGCUCAGGAUGAACGCUAGCGACAGGCUUAACACAUGCAAGUCGAGGGGCAUCAUGAGGUAGCAAUACCUUGAUGGCGACCGGCGCACGGGUGAGUAACGCGUAUGCAACCUGCCUGAUACCGGGGUAUAGCCCAUGGAAACGUGGAUUAACACCCCAUAGUACUUUUAUCCUGCAUGGGAUGUGAGUUAAAUGUUUAAGGUAUCGGAUGGGCAUGCGUCCUAUUAGUUAG